AUUACUAUUACCGUUACUAUUUCAGUCUAGUUACUAUAAUCAGGUGUGACGAAAGCAUCUUGUAACUUAUUAGACUUAACGAGGUAAUUAUAGAACUACAUAUAUUUAACGAGGUAAUAAACAAUCAAGCGAGUAUGUCUUUAAUGUGAAAGCAAUAUAAUUAGUGUAACGGCCCCUGCUGUUUCCCUUAAUAAAAGAUAGUGUUAAUUAAUGGUGUUAUAAUAAGUUCAUUUCUAUAAAUCAUUCCUACCUGUUGGUUUGGGGACAUGGCGGCGGACAGCGUGAAGCUUCGGGGAUUCAUGAACCACCCAAGUACCUGCUUCACUAACCUCCACCAAUCACAGCGUUCCAGGCAGGGGUAAACUUCCGCCAUUACAAUAGUGCAGACGUGGCGGCGGUCACAGGUGGCUGCUCGGGGCACGCUUGCAGCCAUUGAGAUUUAAUAUAUACAGUGAUGCUCAUCUGGGCCUCUAAGCAUCAUUUUGAACAGAUGGGCCCCCUACGCAAAAGGAUGUCUGAUGUUUUCUGAGAUCCCCAAAAUAUUCAUGCCAUGGUGACCUGGGAACUUGAAGUCAAUGAAAAAAGAAA
Eriocheir sinensis (Chinese mitten crab) is the source of this 588-nucleotide long non-coding RNA. RefSeq lists it as uncharacterized. Lineage: Eukaryota; Metazoa; Arthropoda; Malacostraca; Decapoda; Varunidae. The record is from RefSeq and is a predicted model, not a curated record. The transcript has 2 exons.